GGAUAGAGCAACGGCCUUCUAAGCCGUAGGUCGUGGGUUCGAAUCCCGCCUGAAUCACAA
RNAcentral lists this transfer RNA (60 nucleotides) under Odoribacter splanchnicus. RNAcentral's name for it is "tRNA-Ser". It matches the Rfam family "tRNA", at positions 17 to 71 of the family's 71-position model. Rfam says of the family: Transfer RNA (tRNA) molecules are approximately 80 nucleotides in length. Their secondary structure includes four short double-helical elements and three loops (D, anti-codon, and T loops). Lineage: Bacteria; Pseudomonadati; Bacteroidota; Bacteroidia; Bacteroidales; Odoribacteraceae. The record is from RNAcentral.